Long non-coding RNA from Apis mellifera (honey bee), 1898 nucleotides. RefSeq lists it as uncharacterized. The transcript is spliced from 2 exons. NCBI's taxonomy places the organism in Eukaryota, Metazoa, Arthropoda, Insecta, Hymenoptera, Apidae. The record is from RefSeq and is a predicted model, not a curated record.
AACAUUUUAUUCGUCACAUUUUAUUUCUUCUUCCAAAUUUGUGAAGUGAUCAAAAUAAAAACAAUUCAAUGAUAAAUCAUUAGAAUAACUUAUAAAUUCACAAAUAAAUAGAAAAUUGUUGUUAUUUGUCAUCAGGCAAAAGAUUAAAACGUAAUCCGUUUUUCAAACUUAUCUAAUGAAAAAAUAAACGAUAACAAUUCGAUAAUAAUUUGAUAGUGGCAAAAAGGUUAAAGUUCUUGCCGCCAGAGCGUUACUCAAGAGGUCAUUUUAGCGGAGAAUGGAAUCCGAGAAGCGACCUUGCGAGACAUUGAAUCGGUACAUAAUUGAAUUGUUCCACUUGACCACACGCUUGAAUCUUUCUUUGAAUUGAGGCAGCGAUUAAUGUAAUUAACCUAUAUUACAUAGCGUACCACCACGCGCCGAUUAAUUCCAUUAGAUCUGCCAGACGUCAUCGUAUCGUAAAAAAUCAUUGAGAUUAAUUCUCGACAUUUUUUUUUACAUUGCCGCAGAUUUUUUUCUAAUAAUAAACUUUUAAAAACUUACGAAAAUUACACGUAUACGAUAUCGAUAAUUUUCAUUAUCGCAAACAUAUUAUUUUAGAGAGAAUUAUCCAAGAAUGGAGAAGAAUUUUCUAUUAUUAUGUUGAAUAAAUAACUUCAUUUUUCAAAUCGUGUCGAAUUUUAUAUUGAUCAAUUUUUUUGAUUAAUCGGGCAAAUUAGCUUUACAAAGAAAGAAAGGCAAUAAGCGGAAUCUUGACAGUUAACUACUGUAUUGUAUUACAGCUAUGGAUGCGCGCAAUGCGAUAUUCGCGAUAUCAUAUAUACUCUGCGGAAGGAUGAGAAUAUAUAUAUAUACUUGCGUGUAUUUAAAAACAUUUAUCGAAAAAAAAUUGUCAUCUUAACACUUGGAUUCAAAUUUAAAACAGAUCGCUGGAUAAUGUAGUUUAUUAUCAUCGUAUACAUACCUGCUUCACAAACUUUUUUAUUCAUGCAAUUCCAUUUUUAAAAAUUAAAAAAAAAAUGAUGAAGAAUCGAGCGAAGAGCAAGGUUAUUAUUCUUACGCGAUUAUAAUUUUAUAAAUUUUCGGCAGAUGGCGAACGAAAGCUAUGACAUGUAUGGUCGCGUGGGUGUACCCUUCGGAAUGGCCCUAAGUUACAUAAUGCCGUAAUGCCUCCAUUUAACGCCAAUUGACCUCGUUGUACGCGUUUGCGCUAAAGGAAGUUUAACAAUUGCCAUUCAACCGAGCAAACCGUUGUGUCCACCGCGAAUUAGCCGCGGUUCGCGCUUCCGUCUUUUUCUCUCUUUUCCUUCUUUCCCUCUUUUUUCCCUUCUUUCCCUGUCAUUAUCCAUUAUUUUGACUAAAUCAAUCGAAAAGAUAAACACGUGUGCAAGUUUCUUCUCCCAUUCCGCUUAAUUAACAUCAAAACGAAGUAUAUCUGACGUUGAAAAGUACCGGGAAACGAUGUAAGGAUAAUCAGCCAAUUUCAAGGUUAGGAUCGAAAUCGAAGUAUUGUAUUCGAACGAUGAAUGCAAUUUGCAAAAAAAUUGUACAACUGCGAUAGGCUUCUGAGCUAAUUAAACCAAAAAGAAGAUGUAAUCUCACGAUUCUCACCACCUUCCUAUGCAUUUUUGGAUUAUUUUUCAACGAGACCAACCACGUUGAUGCAUUAAGAUAAAUUUAUGUACGAAGUCAUUUAUAUUUUUUUUUUAAUAAAUUUUUAUUUAACAUUCAUCAAGAGCAACUUUUUAAUUAAUGCAAUGAAUAAAAGUUAUAUUAUUAUUAAAAUGAAUGAUUGGUGAAAUCUGGAUAUAAAUCUAUAGCUAUAUUAUUUGCUUGUAAAAACUAUUAAAAUAAAUGUGAAUGAAAUUGUAUUAAAAAUUAAAUAUUAGCAAUAUUAA